UCUGCAAGAUUCCCUGAGCACCGAGGAAAGACAGCCAUUCCACCGAGGACUGAAUAUUCCAAGAUCUCCCACUCGCUGCACAGUAUUUGCUGUCGAUCUCUGCGUUUGUCCUCAUCUACUUCCGGAGGAAGCUUCUCUGAUGGUGGUUGAGCAAGAAACUGACCUAUGAGUGUAGCUGACUCUGUCGGAGUCAUUUCAUUGCUACGGUCCUUCAGCAGAACAUUGCUGAUUGGUUUUCCCCUGUGUCACUCGCUUAAUUGGUCUCUGGUUAGUGGCUACCUGAGCAGUGUCACAGAUAGGUUGAUCUAACAGAAUAGGCUUUAAAUCCAACCAUGUAAUUGUUGGUUACUCCCACAAGCCUGGCGCCACUGUUGUGCUAGCAUAUUCGGCAGGCAGUCAUCGUUGUAGAUCGAAGGGUUGUGUAGCUGGGGCCGCAUGUGAGAACAUCUAGAACAGCUGCACAUUACUGCACCUUCUAAGCCGGAGCCAGCACUGCGUCCAGUCCAGAAUCUUUAACCCAUGAUUGAUAGCAGAAAAUACCAUACGACUCUUCCUGAAAUAUUAAUAUAGACUGGCUGCCUAGAUAACCCCCAAUGUCUGCCUCCCUCUGCCUCCCCAGCUCUGGAAUUGCAGAUGCAGGUUGUGGACAUAUUUGAAUUGCCAUAAAUCUACAAACUAGUUGAGGAGAACUGAUGAGUGUAAGACACAUUUUUGGUUCUCUUAUUCUGAACCUGACAAAAUACUCCCCUGUUUCAACCAUUACUUUAUGUUAUCAAAUAAAGAUUCGUAGUUCUUUUCAUGUUAUCUUGUAAAACUCAUGAAAUAUUUUAUGAUCUUUGU
Molecule: long non-coding RNA, 840 nt
Organism: Mesocricetus auratus (golden hamster)
Lineage: Eukaryota; Metazoa; Chordata; Mammalia; Rodentia; Cricetidae
Exons: 4
Source: RefSeq, a predicted model, not a curated record